This 2850-nucleotide long non-coding RNA is filed under the name Sus scrofa (pig). RNAcentral's name for it is "lncRNA (ENSSSCG00050045188.1)". Lineage: Eukaryota; Metazoa; Chordata; Mammalia; Artiodactyla; Suidae. The record is from RNAcentral.
GGGCAUCCGGAGUGGCUAGAAAUUGACUUUGUCCUUGAUUUAGGAUUGAUGUGGGAUUUAGGUUUAUGGUCAGGGCGGAAGGGAGUUCUAAGAAAGGGGAGCAGCAUGAGCGAAACUAAAAGCAAGGAUUUGCAAGCCAUGUUUGGGGAGGAGUGAGUUGUUUGGUAGGCUGGGAGGAAGAGAGUUUUAAGAAGAGGGGACUAGCCCACUCUGUGAAGGGCUGCGGAGAUAUGGAGGUAGGAGAAAUGAGGAAAAGUGAUUGGAUUUGGCUACCCAGGAUUGCUUUGUGAGCUAUGAAAGUGCUGCUUGAGUGGAGGAGUGGAGAGGGCACAAGCCACGUUGUAAGAUAUUACAGAGUGAUGAAUGGGGAAGUGCAAAUGCUGGCCCAUAAGCCCUUCCGCCUUGGUUGUUAGCAGUGAAAUGAGAAAUACAAAGUUAACACCAGGUGUUUAUCGUAAGCCUAAUUUUAUUUACUCUUAAUAGCCAUACCAUAAUGUGAGAUUAUAGUCUUUUUUGGUUUAAAAAUACCAUUUGAGGGAGUUCCCGUCGUGGCUCAGUGGUUAAUGACUAGGAAGCAUGAGGUGUGGGUUUGAUCCCCGGCCCAGUGCGGUGGGUUAGGGAUCCAGUAUUGCUGCAGCUGUGGCGUAGGUUACAACUGGGGUUCAGAUUCAGUCCUUGGACUGGGACCUUCCACAUGCCCCGGGUGUGGCCAAAACAAACAAACAAAAAAUUGGAAACUCUUUGUUCUAUAAGCUGUUUAAAACAAAGGUAAGUGGUUCAGCCAGCAAAAUCAAGUUUAUUCGGGAAGAGCAGAAGACUUACAGAAGACACAUAAACUGUGGUGAACAAAAGUCCAUUGGAGGAGAGUGAUUGUCGUGGCUCCUGAUUGGCUGAAUUGCUAUGACUUGUCAUUGGCUGGGCUGUUGCUGGGAGAGCAGAAAAUCUUCUUUCCCUUGCUGGGGUGUGUAAAACAAGCCUCUUCCUGUUGGGGAGAUACAGGGUAUGGCCUUGGUUGGUGGUGAGUGAGAGCUCUCCUUUCAGGGCCUCCCAACUCCAUUUUAAAUGGGAUUUCCUUUAUUCAUUUUCACAGGUCAUUGCCCUUGAAACCUUGCUUGUUUUUAUUUGUACUUAUAUUUAAUAUUUUUAACUGAGGUACAUAUAUAAUUUUUCAGAUUCCUUUCCCUUACAGAUCAUUACAAAAUAUUGGUAUAGUUCCCUGUGCUAUAUACAAGAGGGUGCUUGUUGGUUAUCUCUUUUAUAUGUAGAGGUGAAUAUUUGUUAGUUCCAAUCUCCUAAUUUAUCCACCCCUCUUCGUGGUAACCAUAACUUUGUUUUCUGUUUCUGUGGAUCUGUUUCUGUUUUGUAAAGAAGUUCAUCUGUAUCUUUUUUUUUUAGAUUCCACAUAUAAGUGAUAGCCUAUGAUGUUUGUCUUUCUCUGUCUGACUUACUUUGCGUAACAUGAUCAUCUCUAAUUUUUGUUUUACUGAUUGGUGAAGUUCAAAUGGCAGGGACCAAAAUGACAAGGGAGAGUUACAGCUGUUCUUUUAAAGCGUUAGCUCUCCUAGUGCUUUUGACUGGCAUUCAGUGUAUUCACAUUUUCAGGAUCAUUGCAUGUGUGUGAAGUAAGACUCACUUUUGUUCUCAAGCGGAGAUUGAGUAUCACUGAGGAUUAUUGAGAAAGCAAGUUGGAGACUUAGAUUUGAUGGCCGUAAAGCAGGCAGAACAUUCUCCAUUUGAGUCCUAGGCCUCUCUUGUUUGGGGGGGAGUGUUCUUCUUGUGGCUCAGCUGAGCCUUCUAUUCUAGCUGCACAUGGUACUUUCUGUCCUUUCUGACCCUGAAGGUGAAAGAUCUUUUUACUUAAAACUGCAGAUCUGAGAUGUAGAUAUAAGUGAAACAUUCCCAUUUAUUCUUUCUGGUAGUUAUUUUAAUGUCUAAAGGUCAGAGUUGCAAACAUCUUAAAUGCAAAGCAUUUAAUUUCCACUAGAGUUAAAGGUCUCUAAGCGUGUAUUAGAACCAGUAAAAAUGACGAUGUUUAAAGCAGCCAAAUUCUAUUUCUUAUAUGACUAUUUUAUAUGAAAUACACAGGCAGAAAAAUCUAUAUGUUUAUCCAACUUUAUGUCCAGUGGCUAUUGGAAGCUUGUCUUCUUGGGUUAUUAUAUGAAUAAUUCCUGUGUGUGUAUAUAUAUAUAUCUCCCCAAAUUACAAAAAGAAUUACAUGUAUUGUUUUUAGGGCUUGUUUUGUAGACUAAAUAUGCUGGCUAAAUCUUGCUAAUAUAGGCAUUUCCUGAAUUACUAACACCCUACAGACUUGCUAUAAAUAAGAUUGUGUGGGCUGUGCUGUGCUGAGAAAGUGGCUAGGUUCUACCUUGGGGCAAGAAAUGGUGUUUCUGGGAGCUGCCUUGCCCUAGUAUUAGUACUGAAGUACGUAGUGCCUUCUAGUAGAUUGUCUUAACAGAGAGUUUCCUGAUGGCUCAGCAGGUUAAGGAGUUGGCAUUGUCACUGCUGUGGCGAGGGCUGCUGCUGUGGCAAGGGUUUGAUCACUGGCCUGGAAACUUCCUUAUGCUGUGGAUGCAGCCAAAAAAAAAAAAAAGAGAGAGAGAGACAGAAUGUCUUAACAGACCUCGACUUAACUAGUUGGCUGCAUUAAUCAGAGCCGAUUAUUUGCUCUCCGACUGAUGACACAGCAUGCUGAUAGCGCAUGGUUAGAAAGCUGGUACCGUCUCCUACCAGGAAGGGAUCAGUUAAGAGUCUGUUGAUGUCUGUCUGAUUUGUUAUUGUGAUUUCUUCAUUUAUUGAGAUAUUAUAUAAACCAUUUGAAUAUCAGUGCAAACAUUUACACAAAGGAAUCUG